GCGCGAUUAUUCGUUAAUUCCGCCAUUGUGUUUUUUGAAGUUUAAGCGUCAUUAGUUCUUGUGGUGGAGAGAAGCGUUGAACAUAGUGAUUGACAGGUGUAUCACAUUAUCAGGAAGCGUGUGUUGAAGCUGUAUAAAAAUGAGGCUACAUCGCAGCAUCCAAACCUCAACGUUCAACGGAUUCUGCUUGGAAACGGAAGCACGGACACGGACACGGGCGUGAGCCAAGUGGCUAUUAGGAGCAUCGAGCGGAGAAAUUAAAGAAGUUAAGGUUCUAGCGGAAAUGCUGAAUCUCGCACGGCACCGAAGGGACUAGACUAGACAAAUCGUACACGUUGAAAAAAGCUUGCCAGGUGACGGAGGGUCGAAAGACGGCAGGUUAGAACGCUACACCUUGGUUCCGUGGAUAUCGUGGACGUCCCUGAAAUAACACGAGACGCCGAAGGUGGCGACCCUGUAGGUGGCAGUCGCGCUGGGUUCCUGUUACACGAUGCGAAUCCGGCACUGGCGCCCCAGUCAUGCCAACCGAUGGUGGGGGGACAGUUACGUUUCACGUGACACGCUGGCGCCUUGGUGGUAGGGAUCGAUCCGUGAUCACGUGACCGUUGGCGCCGAGAUGGUGGGGACGCACCUACCACCCCUUCGGGAAGAACGAACUGGAGAAGAGCGAACCACGGCAGGAAGACCGGCGGCAUUCUGACCUGGUAAGUCGCCAGUGUCGGAUCGUGAGAAAGUGAAUAAGACUAAAGCAUCGGAGGACAUUUAAAUCGACCGUGUAAGCGACAAUCGUUUUUAAAAGCGAAACGGUUUCGCCGCGAACUGUCUACGACGCGGACGCAAUUGACGGAUUACGAGCUACGCCAAACCAAAUUACGCUUAUUUAUUACAAUUCCUACGUCGUACGAACCUUCGUCCGAUCAUUUUUAUUCGUUCGCUACCAGUGUGUGUUGACGCGCUAUUGUAACGCGUUUUCGGUUCUUUCUUGCUCUUUAUCCUGGAUCGAGAGAGACCGUUCCGACGAAACCGAGGAUACGCGAAGAAAAACAGGAAGAGUCAAACACAGAAGAAAAGAAGAAAAGAAAAAAAGGUACUAUACAAGAUCGAGAGACCGGUAGCUACUUUGGACAGCGAGAAUAGGAGAGACGAAAGUAAAGUGUGUUGUGCAUGGAACGCAAGGGAUAACAAAAUCGGUAGACCAGCUUUUUUUCCCACAACUUUGUCGAACCCCGACAGAUUCUCGCCGUUGUAUAUAUUGUUUUCGCGUAAACGGCCUUUAGGUGAGUGAUAUUCGAAGUCAUCGCCCGAAACCAAGGUCCUGUUACGUGUAUAUAUACACGCGUACGCACACGUUCGACACGCGUGUAUUCCUCUGUUAGUUUUAUUUUGUGAAGUGUUGAGCAGUGUCCUGGGCGAGGUAAGCGUCUUGCCGUGCGAAUUCGUGCCAACUUCUCUAGCCGUGGCCGUAUCUUUACGAUCGAUUUGUGCAUGCUCU
Long non-coding RNA from Bombus impatiens (common eastern bumble bee), 1492 nucleotides. RefSeq lists it as uncharacterized. The transcript has 4 exons. NCBI's taxonomy places the organism in Eukaryota, Metazoa, Arthropoda, Insecta, Hymenoptera, Apidae. The record is from RefSeq and is a predicted model, not a curated record.